AAGCCUGGGUAGUGGGCUUAUCUCAUAGAACAUCCCACCCCAACAAACAAACAAUCCAACAGAACCCACAGAUACAGCAGACAUAUGUACAUGAAUGCAAUAAGGUAAAGCAGGUAAAUAAAUAACUGUACAAAAGAAUAAACACCCAACAAACAAGAAACCUACAAAAGCUAGGAGGGACUCGCUUAGGGAAACCGGGUCCCCAGUAGAGUCGCGAGUUGUCG
Molecule: long non-coding RNA, 224 nt
Filed under: Lathyrus oleraceus (garden pea)
Lineage: Eukaryota; Viridiplantae; Streptophyta; Magnoliopsida; Fabales; Fabaceae
Description: Pisum sativum (pea) long non-coding RNA (PSAT_LNC038341)
Source: RNAcentral